Molecule: ribosomal RNA, 352 nt
Filed under: uncultured Latescibacterota bacterium
Lineage: Bacteria; Pseudomonadati; Candidatus Latescibacterota
Description: bacterial SSU rRNA
Rfam family: Bacterial small subunit ribosomal RNA
Source: RNAcentral
ACACAGGUGCUGCAUGGCUGUCGUCAGCUCGUGUCGUGAGAUGUUGGGUUAAGUCCCGCAACGAGCGCAACCCUUAUCCCCAGUUGCCAUCAGGUAAAGCUGGGAACUCUGGGGAGACUGCCGGUGAUAAACCGGAGGAAGGCGGGGAUGACGUCAAGUCCUCAUGGCCCUUACAUCCCGGGCUACACACGUGCUACAAUGGCAGGUACAGAGGGCUGCAAAGCCGCGAGGUAGAGCGAAUACCCAGAAAACCUGUCUCAGUCCGGAUUGAAGUCUGCAACUCGACUUCAUGAAGGCGGAAUCGCUAGUAACCGCGAAUCAGCAGGUCGCGGUGAAUACGUUCCCGGGCCUU